GCUUAACACAUGCAAGUCGAGGGGCAGCAUGGUCUUAGCUUGCUAAGGCCGGUGGCGACCGGCGCACGGGUGAGUAACACGUAUCCAACCUGCCGUCUACUCUUGGACAGCCUUCUGAAAGGAAGAUUAAUACAAGAUGGCAUCAUGAGUCCGCAUGUUCACAUGAUUAAAGGUAUUCCGGUAGACGAUGGGGAUGCGUUCCAUUAGAUAGUAGGCGGGGUAACGGCCCACCUAGUCUUCGAUGGAUAGGGGUUCUGAGAGGAAGGUCCCCCACAUUGGAACUGAGACACGGUCCAAACUCNUACGGGAGGCAGCAGUGAGGAAUAUUGGUCAAUGGGCGCAGGCCUGAACCAGCCAAGUAGCGUGAAGGGUGACUGCCCUAUGGGUUGUAAACUUCUUUUAUAAAGGAAUAAAGUCGGGUAUGUAUACCCGUUUGCAUGUACUUUAUGAAUAAGGAUCGGCUAACUCCGUGCCAGCAGCCGCGGUAAUACGGAGGAUCCGAGCGUUAUCCGGAUUUAUUGGGUUUAAAGGGAGCGUAGAUGGAUGUUUAAGUCAGUUGUGAAAGUUUGCGGCUCAACCGUAAAAUUGCAGUUGAUACUGGAUAUCUUGAGUGCAGUUGAGGCAGGCGGAAUUCGUGGUGUAGCGGUGAAAUGCUUAGAUAUCACGAAGAACUCCGAUUGCGAAGGCAGCCUGCUAAGCUGCAACUGACA
RNAcentral lists this ribosomal RNA (710 nucleotides) under uncultured Bacteroidales bacterium. Its description in RNAcentral is "bacterial SSU rRNA". It matches the Rfam family "Bacterial small subunit ribosomal RNA", at positions 46 to 745 of the family's 1533-position model. Lineage: Bacteria; Pseudomonadati; Bacteroidota; Bacteroidia; Bacteroidales. The record is from RNAcentral.